Molecule: RNA transcript, 2097 nt
Organism: Oreochromis aureus
Lineage: Eukaryota; Metazoa; Chordata; Actinopteri; Cichliformes; Cichlidae
Gene name: interleukin-15 receptor subunit alpha-like
Exons: 7
Source: RefSeq, a predicted model, not a curated record
GGUCCAAUUAAGGUAUGCAGAAGAGCAUCUCUGAAUACACAAAAUGUUGUACUUUGAAACCUGGAAUCUUCACUGGCCUUCCUUAGCACCAUAAUAUAAUUUGGGAAAGACACUAAAAAAAUGUAUUAGUUUUUCCUAUUUUAAGUAGCCAAGUCCAGUAGUCCUGCAUAGUCCCAUAUUUGAGAACACACUAAUGAAAAAACUCAAAUUGCAAAAGAUAAUUUGUGACCAUUUCUGAAUAAAAUAUGGUUGAAUUUCACAAUACUGCAAAAUAAAGCAUGUAGAAUCCUUUUAAACAUUAAAUACAUAAGUCACAAAACAAUGCCAUUUUCAUUCAGCAUGACUAUAAAGAUAAGAGUAGGAAUAUAGAACAGAAAAUGAACUGGCCUCUGGAAGUUGAGGUCAUCUUGUGCGCCUUCCUAGACAAAGUACAGAUGGUAAGAUCAUACUUCUCCAACUGAAGUAUCACCUGUUGUACUCUUGGAGGUGCUGCUGUAAGUGGCUUGUUUGUGAUGGACUCAAGAGGUUUAUUGUCACUUUCAUUGUCACAUACUGGUGGAUAGCACAAAGCUCUUUUUCAAUCUGAGUAUAGUUAAUUUUAAACACAUAUCCAAUGGCUCAACAUCUGGCUCACAUUUACUUGCAUCAACUUGUAGUCUGAGCUCUUUGCUGGGGUCAAAAUACGAUUGGACUAGAACAGGCUCUCUUGUGACAUCCUUAUUUUCCUGAAAUCUUCAUGCUGUGUCACAUAUGAAAUCAUCAUAAUAUUUUUGAACAGGUGAUGAAAAGGUGCAUUGCUAGACAGGACACAUUUUGUGAAGUAGCUGACCAUGCCAAGGACUGGUUGUAGCUCACUUUUGUCUUCUUGGGCCUCCAUGUGUCUGACAGCUGCAGUUGUAGAUAUAUCACACUUGACUUCUUCUUAGGUGUGAUCACACGCCACACUGUUUCAGUUGAACUCCUUUUGCUCUGCAGCAUUGCAGCACAGCACAUAUGACUAUAUCUUCCUCUAUUGCCGUGACUAUCUGCAGACUUUCAGGUUUAAUUGACUUUCCACUGGAAGUCAACUUGAGAAGAUUUCAGACGAACAGAUGGGCAGACUCUGCUCUUUGUAACGUCCAACCGCUGUGUUGAAUGUUAUCCGGCACACAUCUGAAACAUUAGUGUGACUUGCCUUGUUGCUUAUGUAUUUCCUUUUUCAAGAUUCAAAAUACCGAGAGGAGAAUGUUUUCUUUUGUUGUUUUUAGCCUGUCUUGCCCGGCAGCUUUUCAAUCAGAAUUAUGAUCUGAAUGCACUGUUUCGCCAAACAUGUUUACUUUUCUAAGUUUGUCUGCCAGGAGCUGCAAGAUUCUCCAGCAGCGAUAACAGCUGUCAAUGUCCAGAGAUUCCUCAGAGAAAUUUAACUAAACCCCCACAGCAAGGCUGUUUUAAAAUUGGUAGCCAUUUUUUCUACAAAUGUAUAGAUGGUUAUGCAAGGGUAGUGGGAACAUCAAAUUUCAUCAAAUGCGUCGCAAAAGAAGUUGGUGUACACUGGACUGAGCCAACACUACAGUGUACACCUGACCCAAGGAUAACCACAACACGUCCAACAACAACAAAAGUAAAAGCAGCAACUUUCACCACCAAGAUGAUGCAGAAUGUAAGCACUUUGCCAUCAGUGCCUGGAGAAAGGGACAACAUAGAAACAUACACACAUGGUAAACAGCACAAAGUCACACCGUGCUUGAACACAGAACCGUCUAAAGCAGCAACGCUGGCAUCCAUCUCUGUCACUGUUUUACUGGUGAUUCUCUGCUCUUUGGGCAUCAUCUUCUUACUGUAUCAAAGGAAGUCAAAAAAGCACAUCCCACUGCAGACGCCAGAUGAAGUGAAGCCCAUGAAUCCUGCCCCAUCUGAAGUGGACUUGUAGAUAAUGUAGUACCCUAUGGCUUUCCCACUGACUCUUACCCUCACAUAGAACUGGACUCUGGUCAGAUGGUGUUUGUCACAACCUGAUAACCCAUUUCAUCUUCCAUCAACACCAUCCCCAAAUCAUCAUGGCUAUCUUGCUAUGUUUUUUGUUGUUUAUAUAGCCUAAGAAAGAAGCUUAAUCUUAAA